GGGGGCGCACUGGUUUCGACGGGGACGUGGAAGCCGGAAUUGCAGGUCGAGGCGCCGCUGGCCUCGUAAAAAGCGGCACACAAGUAAUUGGCAACGAUUACGACUACGCUUACGCGGCUUAAUUGACCGCGCCGUGAUGGAUGGGUCUUCGCCUGUUGGAACCACCGGAUCGGACAUACUUAAACAGGCUGGCGUCCCGAGAUGUCUGUCGCGACGGGCGCGAGACUUUACGGCAGGCUGCCCGGAAGAUGCCCUGUCGGGGGCGACCCUUCCGGAAAGACGCAUACCCGGCAUAAACCUGUAGACGUUCCGCGUGAAAACUUCUCGGACGGGGGUUCAAUUCCCCCCGCCUCCACC
This 357-nucleotide transfer-messenger RNA is filed under the name uncultured delta proteobacterium. It matches the Rfam family "transfer-messenger RNA". From Rfam's summary of the family: Bacterial tmRNA, also known as 10Sa RNA or SsrA, is named for its dual tRNA and mRNA-like properties. Its role is to liberate the mRNA from a stalled ribosome. Lineage: Bacteria; Deltaproteobacteria. The record is from RNAcentral.